Molecule: ribosomal RNA, 1540 nt
Filed under: Staphylococcus aureus
Lineage: Bacteria; Bacillati; Bacillota; Bacilli; Caryophanales; Staphylococcaceae
Description: 16S ribosomal RNA
Rfam family: Bacterial small subunit ribosomal RNA
Source: RNAcentral
AGAGUUUGAUCCUGGCUCAGGAUGAACGCUGGCGGCGUGCCUAAUACAUGCAAGUCGAGCGAACGGACGAGAAGCUUGCUUCUCUGAUGUUAGCGGCGGACGGGUGAGUAACACGUGGAUAACCUACCUAUAAGACUGGGAUAACUUCGGGAAACCGGAGCUAAUACCGGAUAAUAUUUUGAACCGCAUGGUUCAAAAGUGAAAGACGGUCUUGCUGUCACUUAUAGAUGGAUCCGCGCUGCAUUAGCUAGUUGGUAAGGUAACGGCUUACCAAGGCAACGAUGCAUAGCCGACCUGAGAGGGUGAUCGGCCACACUGGAACUGAGACACGGUCCAGACUCCUACGGGAGGCAGCAGUAGGGAAUCUUCCGCAAUGGGCGAAAGCCUGACGGAGCAACGCCGCGUGAGUGAUGAAGGUCUUCGGAUCGUAAAACUCUGUUAUUAGGGAAGAACAUAUGUGUAAGUAACUGUGCACAUCUUGACGGUACCUAAUCAGAAAGCCACGGCUAACUACGUGCCAGCAGCCGCGGUAAUACGUAGGUGGCAAGCGUUAUCCGGAAUUAUUGGGCGUAAAGCGCGCGUAGGUGGUUUUUUAAGUCUGAUGUGAAAGCCCACGGCUCAACCGUGGAGGGUCAUUGGAAACUGGAAAACUUGAGUGCAGAAGAGGAAAGUGGAAUUCCAUGUGUAGCGGUGAAAUGCGCAGAGAUAUGGAGGAACACCAGUGGCGAAGGCGACUUUCUGGUCUGUAACUGACGCUGAUGUGCGAAAGCGUGGGGAUCAAACAGGAUUAGAUACCCUGGUAGUCCACGCCGUAAACGAUGAGUGCUAAGUGUUAGGGGGGUUCCGCCCCUUAGUGCUGCAGCUAACGCAUUAAGCACUCCGCCUGGGGAGUACGACCGCAAGGUUGAAACUCAAAGGAAUUGACGGGGACCCGCACAAGCGGUGGAGCAUGUGGUUUAAUUCGAAGCAACGCGAAGAACCUUACCAAAUCUUGACAUCCUUUGACAACUCUAGAGAUAGAGCCUUCCCCUUCGGGGGACAAAGUGACAGGUGGUGCAUGGUUGUCGUCAGCUCGUGUCGUGAGAUGUUGGGUUAAGUCCCGCAACGAGCGCAACCCUUAAGCUUAGUUGCCAUCAUUAAGUUGGGCACUCUAAGUUGACUGCCGGUGACAAACCGGAGGAAGGUGGGGAUGACGUCAAAUCAUCAUGCCCCUUAUGAUUUGGGCUACACACGUGCUACAAUGGACAAUACAAAGGGCAGCGAAACCGCGAGGUCAAGCAAAUCCCAUAAAGUUGUUCUCAGUUCGGAUUGUAGUCUGCAACUCGACUACAUGAAGCUGGAAUCGCUAGUAAUCGUAGAUCAGCAUGCUACGGUGAAUACGUUCCCGGGUCUUGUACACACCGCCCGUCACACCACGAGAGUUUGUAACACCCGAAGCCGGUGGAGUAACCUUUUAGGAGCUAGCCGUCGAAGGUGGGACAAAUGAUUGGGGUGAAGUCGUAACAAGGUAGCCGUAUCGGAAGGUGCGGCUGGAUCACCU